Molecule: small RNA, 164 nt
Filed under: Lysinibacillus sphaericus
Lineage: Bacteria; Bacillati; Bacillota; Bacilli; Caryophanales; Bacillaceae
Also listed under: 1 other name
Description: Lysinibacillus sp. Magnesium sequence
Rfam family: M-box riboswitch aptamer (ykoK leader)
About the family: M-box riboswitch, also know as ykoK leader is described as a metaloregulatory RNA that sense divalent metals and function as a genetic control element of genes related to divalent metal transport in bacteria. It was first reported upstream of the B.subtilis ykoK gene and genes with related functions in other bacteria.
Source: RNAcentral
GUAAACACUCGUUAGGUGAGGCUCCUAUAUGAAGACAUGCUGCUGCCCAGAAACGUCCAAAGACGCCAAUGGGUCAACAGAAAUCAUCGAGUUAAGGUGAUUUUUAAUGUAGCUGGAAAAAAUCCUAUGUCAUAUAGUGCUAAAACUCUACGAAGGGGGUUUAU